CCUGAUAGCUCAGUUGGUAAAGAGUCUGCCUGCAAUGCAGGAGACCUUGGUUUGAUUCCUGGGUCAGGA
Molecule: transfer RNA, 69 nt
Filed under: Ovis aries (sheep)
Lineage: Eukaryota; Metazoa; Chordata; Mammalia; Artiodactyla; Bovidae
Rfam family: tRNA
About the family: Transfer RNA (tRNA) molecules are approximately 80 nucleotides in length.
Source: Rfam by way of RNAcentral